This 450-nucleotide ribosomal RNA is filed under the name uncultured bacterium. RNAcentral's name for it is "partial 16S ribosomal RNA". It matches the Rfam family "Bacterial small subunit ribosomal RNA", at positions 354 to 796 of the family's 1533-position model. The record is from RNAcentral.
GUGGGGAAUCUUCCGCAAUGGACGAAAGUCUGACGGAGCAACGCCGCGUGAGUGAAGAAGGUUUUCGGAUCGUAAAGCUCUUUCGUUAGGGACGAACGUGCUCUUUGUGAAUAAUGAGGAGUAAUGACGGUACCUAAAUAAGAAGCCACGGCUAACUACGUGCCAGCAGCCGCGGUAAUACGUAGGUGGCAAGCGUUGUCCGGAAUUAUUGGGCGUAAAGCGCGCGCAGGCGGGAUAUCAAGUCUGUCUUAAAAGUGCGAGGCUCAACCUCGUGAGGGGACGGAAACUGGUAUUCUUGAGUGUCGGAGAGGAAAGUGGAAUUCCAAGGGUAGCGGUGAAAUGCGUAGAGAUUUGGAAGAACACCAGUGGCGAAGGCGACUUUCUGGACGAUGUCUGACGCUGAGGCGCGAAAGCUAGGGGAGCGAACGGGAUUAGAAACCCCUGUAGUCC